Sapajus apella (tufted capuchin) is the source of this 137-nucleotide long non-coding RNA. RefSeq lists it as uncharacterized. The record is from RefSeq and is a predicted model, not a curated record. NCBI's taxonomy places the organism in Eukaryota, Metazoa, Chordata, Mammalia, Primates, Cebidae. The transcript is spliced from 3 exons.
GUGGUCAAAAAAGUAGUCGUAGUGUUACAGGAAAGGGGUCCUGUUCCAGACCCAAGAGACGGUUCUUGGAUCUCACGCAAGAAAGACUUCAGGGCAAGUCUGCAGAGCAAAGUGAAAGCAACUUUUCACUUUGGGAG